This 463-nucleotide ribosomal RNA is filed under the name uncultured bacterium. Its description in RNAcentral is "partial 16S ribosomal RNA". It matches the Rfam family "Bacterial small subunit ribosomal RNA", at positions 28 to 505 of the family's 1533-position model. The record is from RNAcentral.
GACGAACGCUGGCGGCGUGCUUAACACAUGCAAGUCGAACGGAAAGGCCCUGCUUGCAGGGUACUCGAGUGGCGAACGGGUGAGUAACACGUGGGUGGUCUGCCCUGCACUUCGGGAUAAGCCUGGGAAACUGGGUCUAAUACCGGAUAGGAGCCAUUUUUAGUGUGAUGGUUGGAAAGUUUUUUCGGUGUAGGAUGAGCUCGCGGCCUAUCAGCUUGUUGGUGGGGUAAUGGCCUACCAAGGCGGCGACGGGUAGCCGGCCUGAGAGGGUGGACGGCCACAUUGGGACUGAGAUACGGCCCAGACUCCUACGGGAGGCAGCAGUGGGGAAUAUUGCACAAUGGGCGCAAGCCUGAUGCAGCGACGCCGCGUGGGGGAUGACGGCCUUCGGGUUGUAAACUCCUUUCGCUAGGGACGAAGCUUUUUGUGACGGUACCUAGAUAAGAAGCACCGGCUAACUACG